RNAcentral lists this ribosomal RNA (468 nucleotides) under uncultured bacterium. RNAcentral's name for it is "partial 16S ribosomal RNA". It matches the Rfam family "Bacterial small subunit ribosomal RNA", at positions 28 to 507 of the family's 1533-position model. The record is from RNAcentral.
GACGAACGCUGGCGGCGUGCUUAACACAUGCAAGUCGAACGGAAAGGCCCUGCUUUUGUGGGGUGCUCGAGUGGCGAACGGGUGAGUAACACGUGAGUAACCUGCCCUUGACUUUGGGAUAACUUCAGGAAAAUGGGGCUAAUACCGGAUAGGAGCUCCUGCUGCACAGUGGGGGUUGGAAAGAUUCGGCGGUUGGGGAUAGACUCGCGGCUUAUCAGCUUGUUUGUGGGGUAGUGGCUUACCAAGGCUUUGACGGGUAGCCGGCCUGAGAGGGUUACCGGGCACAUUGGGACUGAGAUACGGCCCAGAAUCCUACGGGAGGCAGCAGUGGGGAAUAUUGCACAAUGGGCGGAAGCCUGAUGCAGCAACGCCGCGUGCGGGAUGACGGCCUUCGGGUUGUAAACCGCUUUCGCCUGUGACGAAGCGUGAGUGACGGUAAUGGGUAAAGAAGCACCGGCUAACUACGUG